This 659-nucleotide ribosomal RNA is filed under the name uncultured archaeon. RNAcentral's name for it is "bacterial SSU rRNA". It matches the Rfam family "Archaeal small subunit ribosomal RNA", at positions 325 to 985 of the family's 1478-position model. The record is from RNAcentral.
ACGGGGUGCAGCAGGCGCGAAAACUUCACAAUGUGCGAAAGCACGAUGAGGGAAUCCCAAGUGCUUGCACGUAAGUGUAAGCUGUUUCUAUGUUUAAAACGCAUGGAGAGUAAGGGCUGGGUAAGACGGGUGCCAGCCGCCGCGGUAAUACCUGCAGCUCGAGUGGUGGCCGCUAUUAUUGGGCCUAAAACGUCCGUAGCCGGCUUAAUAAAUGCCUGGGUAAAUCGUGUAGCUUAACUAUACGAAUUCUGGGUAGACUGUUAAGCUUGAGAUCGGGAGAAGUUAGAGGUACUCCUGGGGUAGAGGUGAAAUUCUGUAAUCCUAGGGGGACCACCAGUGGCGAAGGCGUCUAACUAGAACGAGUCUGACGGUGAGGGACGAAGCCCUGGGUCGCAAACCGGAUUAGAUACCCGGGUAGUCCAGGGUGUAAACGCUGCUUGCUUGAUGUUAGUCGGGCUCCGAGCCCGAUUAGUGUCGGAGAGAAGUUGUUAAGCAAGCUGCCUGGGAAGUACGGUCGCAAGGCUGAAACUUAAAGGAAUUGGCGGGGGAGCACAGCAACGGGUGGAGCGUGCGGUUUAAUUGGAUUCAACGCCGGANAACUCACCGGAGGCGACGGUUACAUGAAGGCCAGGCUGAUGACCUUGCCAGAUUUUCCGAGA